Molecule: ribosomal RNA, 468 nt
Filed under: uncultured bacterium
Lineage: Bacteria
Description: partial 16S ribosomal RNA
Rfam family: Bacterial small subunit ribosomal RNA
Source: RNAcentral
GACGAACGCUGGCGGCGUGCUUAACACAUGCAAGUCGAACGGAAAGGCCCUGCUUUUGUGGGGUGCUCGAGUGGCGAACGGGUGAGUAACACGUGAGUAACCUGCCCUUGACUUUGGGAUAACUUCAGGAAACUGGGGCUAAUACCGGAAGGAAGCUCUGCCUGCUGGGUGGGGGUGGGAAAGUUUCGGCGGUUGGGGAUGGACUCGCGGCUUAUCAGCUGGUUGGUGGGGUAGUGGCUUACCAAGGCUUUGACGGGUAGCCGGCCUGAGAGGGUGACCGGCCACAUUGGGACUGAGAUACGGCCCAGACUCCUACGGGAGGCAGCAGUGGGGAAUAUUGCACAAUGGGCGGAAGCCUGAUGCAGCAACGCCGCGUGCGGGAUGACGGCCUUCGGGUUGUAAACCGCUUUCGCCUGUGACGAAGCGUGAGUGACGGUAAUGGGUAAAGAAGCACCGGCUAACUACGUG